GAUGACAGAUAAAAUGACAGGGAUGAAGAUGAUGCAUAGUUCAGAUCUAAGCAGUCCUUCUUCUCUGGGAUAGUCCCAUGUGAAGUGAUUACCUGAUGAAGGAUAGCUGUCUCUCCCUCAGUGGCUUUAUACGUAAUGUUCAAUACUUACUGUGAAAUCUGACUUGGGAGCAGGAAUGAAAUCAACUUCUGUAAGAUGCUGAAGGCCACCAAAGUUGCUGAAUUUUUCAUGUUUCCUCCACUUUGCUCGCUGAUUCUGGAACCAGAUCUGGAUAGAGUUUUGCAAAAAAUCAGUGUUUGGCUGACGGGUUGUCCUGUUUACCCUUUAAGUACUGACACAACAUUACAUUUCUUCAAGGCCCUUGGAAUGUCCCUUGUGCUCCAGGACUGAUUUAAUGUUAACACUGAUGAUCCAAAGUGCUUCUCAAGCAGCUUCUUAAGAAAUACUGGAGGGUAGAAGACUGGCUCUACAAACCUGGGAGAAGCUGCAGUCUAUCUCCAGCAUUUCCAGAAUGAAGCAAGAAAUCCAAGCUCAAACUGUGACCAAGCUCCUUGUCCCUGUGGUCCCAAGCAUACAAAAAUGUCUGGGAUGCUGGCAGGGUUCUUGUCCUGCCAGGUUUUCUAUGCCCAGGCAGCCUGUGUACCUUCUAGCAACCGGAAAGCCUUUGGAAGAAAGAGAACAAACCUGCCUACAUCCUGGAAGUUUCUGAAUUAAAAAAAAAUUACCCCCCUCACUAGAUUAAUGAACUGGAUUAUAAUUUCAUGACUCUGCAAAGCAAGAAAGAAACUGUCUACAUUUUAAACCCUAAGAUGUCACAUCAAAUAAUAAUA
Chiroxiphia lanceolata (lance-tailed manakin) is the source of this 830-nucleotide long non-coding RNA. RefSeq lists it as uncharacterized. The record is from RefSeq and is a predicted model, not a curated record. The transcript is spliced from 4 exons. Lineage: Eukaryota; Metazoa; Chordata; Aves; Passeriformes; Pipridae.